This 443-nucleotide ribosomal RNA is filed under the name uncultured bacterium. RNAcentral's name for it is "partial 16S ribosomal RNA". It matches the Rfam family "Bacterial small subunit ribosomal RNA", at positions 338 to 795 of the family's 1533-position model. The record is from RNAcentral.
CCUACGGGUGGCAGCAGUGGGGAAUAUUGGGCAAUGGGCGCAAGCCUGACCCAGCAACGCCGCGUGCAGGAAGAAGGCUUUCGGGUUGUAAACUUCUUUUCUGAGGGACGAAGAAAGUGACGGUACCUCAGGAAUAAGCCACGGCUGACUACGUACUAGCAGCCGGGGUAAUACGUAGGUGGCAAGCGUUAUCCGGAGUUAUUGGGUGUAAAGAGCGUGUAGGCGGGAAAGCAAGUCAGAUGUGAAAACUCAGGGCUCAACCCUGAGCCUGCAUUUGAAACUGUUUUUCUUGAGUGCUGGAGAGGCAAUCGGAAUUCCGUGUGUAGCGGUGAAAUGCGUAGAUAUACGGAGGAACACCAGUGGCGAAGGCGGAUUGCUGGACAGUAACUGACGCUGAGGCGCGAAAGCGUGGGGAGCAAACAGGAUUAGAUACCCUUGUAGUC